RNAcentral lists this long non-coding RNA (1212 nucleotides) under Sus scrofa (pig). RNAcentral's name for it is "lncRNA (ENSSSCG00055000892.1)". Lineage: Eukaryota; Metazoa; Chordata; Mammalia; Artiodactyla; Suidae. The record is from RNAcentral.
UGUGGGGGGGGAACAGGGAGGGUGAAAACCACCCAGCGGAGCCGCCGGGGCGGGGAGGAAACCUGCGCCAGGAGCCACGUGCUGGAGCCGGCGCUGGGUGGGUGGCUCGGGGAGCGGUGGGGGAGGGAGAGGCCCUUGCUGGGAAAGGCCCCAGGCCACGUUUCUGGGGGAGGAGAAGAACCGCGGGUGGACACCCUGGGCCCCAGGCCACCAGGGAACCUUCACCUCCGUCUGGAUAAUGCAGCCCAGAUCUCUUUGAUGGGAGCAGCUCUGGCCAAGCCCUGCCUGCUUGGGGUUGGACCUGAAGGAAUGCACUGGCCUAACCUAAUUGCCUUUUCGGACCUCGGUGGGACGGCGCUGGGGCUGGGACGGGAGGCUCUCCCACCUCACACCCUUCAAAGGGGAUGUACGUCCAAGGGUCGAAGAAUUGGAGAGCCUAAGUAAACCCAGGGUGGUUGGCUGUCCAGGGAAGGUGGGGGGAGUCGUAGGAAGAAGAAAGGAAGCAUGCAAAAGAAGGAAGAAGCAUUUAAGCACGUGAUAAGGACAUAACUGCAGUCCUUGGAAAGGUGGAUUUCCUACUCCCUGGGAAUUUAAGCCAAAAUCCCCUCAGCAGAGAAAAUGGAUUAGCUGCAGGAAGGAAUGAGACACGUUGAGGAGUCUGGGCUGCUUCCGAGUGGUAAGAGGCCAGAGGCUUUGGGUGCUGUGGUCUGCCACUGUCUGUUCAGCAACCCCCUUGAGAGGCUGCCUCCUGUGGUUCCAGGAUGCUCAAGAAGGGCUAGAGACCCUUUAAGAAGCACCCACCUGCAGUGGCCUAAGUGGCACCUAGAAACUUCUGUAAACCCUUACGGUUUUUCCUGCCUAAUCAAUCAGGAAGGGAGAGGAGCCAGGAAGUCAAGGCGGCAAACCUCCACAGCUUUGCCAUGCUGUUCUUUCAAAGCCACAGCUCAACAAGUGAUGCCAGCCCAGGGAGGGGGUGUCGUCUGUGUCUCCUCUUGCAGGCGGAAGCAGCACCACAGCCGGGAGAACAAAACCCGUUUGGAUCUGUCCAGAGCUGUUUGUCAGUACUGCCUUCCAGGACCACGUGAGCUGCCUCUUGCCCCACGUGACCCUCAUUCAAACUCAGGGAGAACGAGAGCUCCCGGGCCCCUUCUCCUCGGACAGCCUAAUCCCACGUGUGCAGAUGGGUGGCUCAUUUCUGCCAGCUCAAAAUAA